GUAAUUACCUGGAAGGAGAGAGACUGUGAUCAGAAAAGCAGUUUUACCAAGGUGAAGCUCAGCCAUUUUAUAAUGGUUAUGCUGACCCCUGCAAUUUCUCCACCUGAAAGAAAUUGACUGCACAAUUUGUGGGGAUAGUGGAGAGUGUGUGUGUGUGUGUGUGUGUG
Molecule: small nuclear RNA, 167 nt
Organism: Sarcophilus harrisii (Tasmanian devil)
Lineage: Eukaryota; Metazoa; Chordata; Mammalia; Dasyuromorphia; Dasyuridae
Gene: U1
Rfam family: U1 spliceosomal RNA
About the family: U1 is a small nuclear RNA (snRNA) component of the spliceosome (involved in pre-mRNA splicing). Its 5' end forms complementary base pairs with the 5' splice junction, thus defining the 5' donor site of an intron. There are significant differences in sequence and secondary structure between metazoan and yeast U1 snRNAs, the latter being much longer (568 nucleotides as compared to 164 nucleotides in human).
Source: Ensembl